This is a long non-coding RNA of Hypomesus transpacificus, 1731 nucleotides long. RefSeq lists it as uncharacterized. NCBI's taxonomy places the organism in Eukaryota, Metazoa, Chordata, Actinopteri, Osmeriformes, Osmeridae. The record is from RefSeq and is a predicted model, not a curated record. The transcript has 2 exons.
UGUUUCAGCUUUUACAUUUGAGCAUGUGAAAAAGGUUGAAAGCCAGGCAUUUCACACGAGAUAGAACGGUAUCCCCACAUACGAUCCAAAUAGCCUUGUAAGAUGGGGAAGCCUUUCACUGUUUAGCAGCUGUGUGGGACAUUUCACUCCACAAAGCUUACCCUCUGAAGGCAACAUGAUGACAGGGAGGAUAAGAGUACGGAACAUUAGAAGAUUCAUAGGAAAUAUGUUUUCACACAGACUACAAAGCCGUUUUGUCCAUACAGUAGCUUGGUUUUAAUUUUGCUUUGCACACAAUUCUUGGCUGAUUUCAAGCACCAACAUAUUUUGGUGUAGACAUCGUUCCGUUUCCACUGCACAACAUAAACAUUGUAGUAUUUAAAAACAUGUUAAGAGUGAUAAAAUCUUGUGAGUAAUGAGAAGAUAAAUUACAAACGAUACACAUCAUAUCAAAAACAGUGGUGAAAAUAACAAUUAAACACUGACAAACAUCUAAUAAAUGGUUCCUUCUACGUAACACAAGUCUUCGUUUCCGUUUAACAUCAAAACAAAAACCACAAGCUUAAAAAUCUCUUUCUAAAUCAGAAUCUUCCUGUAUCACCAUUUUUGUACUAUAGUCAAAGUGCCAUUCGAUGCAUAAAACAAAAGAAUGCUUCUUUGGAGAGAAUGACGUGAUUGGAUAAGAUGUUGGAACACAGGAAUAGAGCCCUGCCCCUCUGGAUGCUUAGCGAGGGAGAACAUUUGCAUAACCCCACCUAUCAUCAUCGCCCUCUCAAGUCUGUUUAGUCAGUAAGCGAGCUCUUAUGAUCCUUCAUAUUCACACUACAUUGGACAUAACUUUACUAAUUUCAUAACAUUUCGUAUUGGAUUGGUUAAUAUUAUAGGCAAAAUUCACGCACUUAUGUCAUAACAUCGUACAUGGCGUGGUCGCUAAGCACGCAGACUUCCUGUGGACGCCCACCAAUGAGAGAGAGCGUGGGGCAGAGGAAUAACUAACAGCUGACGUGGAUUCGGGCCUCUGUCCCGACGUUGUCUGAAAUCCUUUCAAAUCCGUUUUUCCGUGACUGACUAAGCAUGUCUCAUGUUAACAAAGGAAAUGACCUCAUGACCUCAAAGGAAAUGACCUCAUGUACAAACCUCGCCCACCAGACGCUUAACACAGGCGUGCGAGCAAAUACUUAAGCGAAAGAGUAAAAACUAUUGGACGUAGAUCUGAAGAAUUUCCUUCACGAACAAAGAUGUCUUCCAUCAGACCCAAUGACAGCCAGCUGGCCACUACCAUCCCCACGAAAACACAAUGACAAAUGAUUAAUGACAGCAUCAUACUAGGCAUGAGUAUUACUAUUGCACAACAUGAUCUACCCUUUACAACAUCCUGCAAUAUUAAUUCCAUACAACAGGAUUCAUUUAGAGUGACAUUGGAGACACGAAAUAAAAGGAUAAAUGUAUUGAUUUGUUGUUGAUAAGCAACAGUUCAUCGACUGCAAACAGAGUGGACUCCAGAGCUACACUGCUCAGAAGUCAUAUUUCUACAGGACCAGUCUGAACGUCCGGAAGGUCUACAGGCCCAAGGACAUGAAGUCUCCCUGAGGCCACAGCCCUAGGCAGGGAAACGAGAGUCAAACGGUAAAAGUCAUCUUCUUUAUCAGACUGACAAACUCUCUCUCAGGUAAAAGUCAUCUUCUUUAUCAGACUGACAAACUCUCUUUCUCAGGUUCACUCGUGUUUGAU